GACGAACGCUGGCGGCGUGCUUAACACAUGCAAGUCGAACGGAAAGGCCCUGCUUUUGUGGGGUGUUCGAGUGGCGAACGGGUGAGUAACACGUGAGUAACCUGCCCUUGACUUUGGGAUAACUUCAGGAAACUGGGGCUAAUACCGGAUAGGAGCUCCUGCUGCAUGGUGGGGGUUGGAAAGUUUCGGCGGUUGGGGAUGGACUCGCGGCUUAUCAGCUUGUUGGUGGGGUAGUGGCUUACCAAGGCUUUGACGGGUAGCCGGCCUGAGAGGGUGACCGGCCACAUUGGGACUGAGAUACGGCCCAGACUCCUACGGGAGGCAGCAGUGGGGAAUAUUGCACAAUGGGCGGAAGCCUGAUGCAGCAACGCCGCGUGCGGGAUGACGGCCUUCGGGUUGUAAACCGCUUUCGCCUGUAACGAAGCGUGAGUGACGGUAAUGGGUAAAGAAGCACCGGCUAACUACGUG
Molecule: ribosomal RNA, 468 nt
Filed under: uncultured bacterium
Lineage: Bacteria
Description: partial 16S ribosomal RNA
Rfam family: Bacterial small subunit ribosomal RNA
Source: RNAcentral